This 448-nucleotide long non-coding RNA is filed under the name Mus musculus (house mouse). RNAcentral describes it as "long non-coding RNA chr10:86953866-86954314". The record is from RNAcentral. Lineage: Eukaryota; Metazoa; Chordata; Mammalia; Rodentia; Muridae.
GACUUUACAGUUGUAAGGAGUUUAAAAUAUCUAUCUGUCUGUCUGUCUGUCUAUCCAUCUAUCAUCUGUCUAUCUAUCUACCCAUCCAUUUAUCUACUAUCUAUCUAUCCAUCCAUUUAUCUACUAUCUAUCUAUCUAUCUAUCUAUCUAUCUAUCUAUCUAUCUAUCUAUCUAUCUAUUGUCUGUCUAUCUAUUUAUUUUAGUACAGAGAAAUGUGAGAAUGGACAGAGGCUGAGACAGUGAUGCUGAUGCAGUCCAUUGGUAAGUGGGAUACUCUACCUCUGGAGACAGGAGGUAAUCGAGGACACCAGCCGUCAUAUUACUCAAUGCUUCAUUACUUGGAACAAAAAUGGUGUAUGGCUCAUCAAUACCACCCUUCUCCAGGGCUUGUCCAACAUUGGUUUUCUGCAUUUGGGAAAAUAAAUGUUAUAUUCUUCUUCAUUGAAUG